UUGCUUGUUAAGAAUGAAAUUAGUUUAAACUCGAUUUCACAUUUCAAGAGACACAAGUAAGGUGACGUUUGUUUUUUAACUUAAUGACUUAAAGUUACUUAACUUAAUUAAUUAAGUUAAUUAGAGGUGUUUGUUUUUAUAACUUAAUGAGAUUUUUUAGAUAAUUUUGACUUAAUAAAAUAAGCUAAUUUUUUUGGCUUUUUACUUGCUAAUGUAAAAAAUAUCAUUGUUUUAUAAUUUAUUUUUCAUGUCUAUCCCAAAACUCACCUAUAGAUAUUUACCCCACAUAAAAAUAUCCAUAUUUUUUCUUUCUUAUAUUAUAUAUGAUAAAAUUUGAAAUUUAUGGUAUUUUAUAUAUUAAAAUUCCAAAAUAAUUAUGUAUUCACUUGAAUAUAGUUUUACUUAUAAAUGUUAAAAUAUUGUGGUAUUUAAUAUAUUAUUUUUUUGACAUUCAAAUUUAAUAAGGAUACAAAUGCAAAAGUACAUAUUUUCAGCUUUUUAAGUUGAAAAAAACAAACAACUUAAUACUUAUUUUUCGAGAUUCAGACGAAAAAACAAACAUAUUAUUCAGAUUCAGACAUUUAGACCUAUUCAGAAUUCAGACUAAUUCAAGUUUAUUCAGAUUUCAAACAAAAAAACAAACGCAACCUAAGUCAAUGAGCUGAAUGCUGAUUUACUUGCUUGUUUUUUUCUGCCAAAAAUCUGGAUUUGGAGAAUCCCAUUCUUAUUACAACUCGUGAAGUAGUGUUGCGUAGUGAUGGCAUGUCCCUAGGUUCUGUUCAUGGAUUCUGUUUGCAGACAUGGAUGACUCAUCAGAUAAGUUUCAAAGUCUGGCAACUUUUUGUUGUAAAAUUACUUUUUAUUAUUCGGGUCAUAUGUUUUCCUUCUAUAAUGCAUCUUUUUCAUUAGCUGGAAGUGCAAAGUUUUUAUGCUCUUACUGUACGACCACUUUUUCUUCUCUAAAUAGAUAAAAUGGCAUUUCGUUUUUCAUUUGUGAGGCUACUGAACAUAAACUUUCUGUUAGUUAAAUUGAUUGUCUUUGAUAUCUAGAACUUUUAGUUGUACUAAUUUGUACUUCGAGUAUAUGAGAUUGCCGACUGUAAUGGGAAUUGAUGCCAAAUUAAUUAUGCAUCAGGUUUUUCAGCGUGUUCAUCUUUUAUUUCUGUUAACAUUUUUGGCUUUGGACAUGCUGGAUUGUUUUUGGUUUCAGUGAUACAAAACAUCUAACUAAUUGUCCAAAGUUCUUCAUUCCUUGUGACAUAGCAUUCAAUUGAAUGGUGACUCAUGAAUCAUGAUUGUGUGUUUUGGUAUUUGUAUAAUUGUAUACUAUGUAUUGGCAAGACAAAGUUUGUUGAAACUGAGACUUUUCUCCGCCUUCCAUUCUUGUUUCAUAUUCUUAUGCUAACAAAUCUUGAUCAUGAUGAGUCUCCUCUUUUCUUUACAACCCACAUAUAAAGUCUUGGCCAUAAGCCUCAAGGCCUAUUGGCUAUUACAGCAGUGAGUUCACUCUCAGGAAUCAGAUCUUUCAAAUUCGAGUAAAUUUGAAAAAAUUGCAAAUGUCUACAAAGCAAAUGGUCUAUUGGUCCUUUUUGUUAUCACUCACAACAUUACUCAGAGUAUCUACGUUUUACAGUUGGUUCUGUUGUGAAACAGCAUUUCUGAUUAUUAUAGGAGACAAUUCUUCGAAGCAUGUAUUUGAGAUGCUUGUAGAGCCUUUGGAAUUCUAUGAUUAAUUCGCUUUAAUUUCCAGCCAUAGUUCUACUUGCGUUGACAACUUGAGCUUGCUGUCUUGUGGUUUUAGAACCUGCUAAAGUAAGCGUACACACGACAGUGAAGAAUUGAUCUCUGGGGAUUAGCUAUGUGUAAGUAGACAAAGUAUUGAUCUCCGGGGAUUAGCUAUGUGUAAGUAGACAAAGUAUUGAUCUCUGGGGAUUAGCUAGCCUUUAACAAUCAGUGGUGUUCCCGCUACCGGGGUGACAGAUUGUGUAUUUGUCUCCGAAUCUGGGGCAUAUCUAAAAAGCUAAAAGAUUUACUUUCUAUCUUCAAGCACAAGAGCAUACCAUUAUGAUCUGAUUUAAUCUUGUCCACUAACUUGGCUUUUUUUUUUAAUUUAUAUACCAUUUUGUGCUAUCCAACUACAUUGACAAGACAUAUUUGAGAUCAAAUAAACACAUAAUUAUUAACAAUAAUAAUAAUAAUAAUAAUAAUAAUAAUAAUAAUAAUAAUAAUAAUAAUAAUAAUACUAAUAAUAAUAAUAAAUGUUAAUAUUAAUAAAAAUAAUAUUAACAGUAAUUAAUAAUAACUAAAAUAUAAUAAUUAUGAUAAUAGUUAAUUAAAGAUUUUUAGUAAUUUGGAGCAAUGUAACUCAUUUCAAUUCCAAUGUCAAGACAAUGUAAAUAUAUCAAUAAUAAUACAGUUUAUUCUGAUUCUAAUUCAUACAGUUAAAGUAAAUAAUUUGUUCUUAUUCUCAUUUCUCACUCAGAUUCCAACUCAUUCCGAUUCCAACCCAUUCCGAUUUUCGUUUAGCAAAUGCAGCAUCAAUGUUAUGGGUUGCAACUCACAGUUAGUUCUACAUUGUUGGGUGGAACUACUAGGUUAAAUAUCUAUUUCACUAUUCUCAAGCCAUUGGUCAUCACCUUUAUAUUUGCUUAUUAGAGUUGCUAUUCUAGUUAUUUUUUAAAUUCAAAAAAGUAAUAUUGACUCAUAUUUUCAACAUUUUUCUCAUUUUUUAGGAGAGGAGUUUAUUUUCAGCUUGAGAGUUUUUUUGACUUUUUAUUCUAUUGAGGAUACACUUAUUCCUCUUCAAAUAAUAUUAUAUUAUUUUUUAUAUUAUCAUUAUGAGAAGUACUAUAACUGCAUUUUUGAAAAAAUAGAGGGUAAUUAAGAAUUUGAUUAAAUUUAUAUAAACCUGAUUCUAUUUGAAGUCUUUUUGGGAGAAGAAUUAUGUUUUUCACCCUUUUAUUUGCCUUAUCAGCAAUAGAACACAAUCCACUGAGUCCUAAAAAGACUAUAUGUUAAUACAAACUAUGAGUUACAAGUUAAAUUAAUUAUUUUGCAUAGAUUUGGAUUUUUUUUUUGGUUUAAACAAUUUUGCUUAGUGAUGUGAAGGGUAGUAUCUUUUAUCCAAACAUGAAACUUUAAUAAGAUUUGAGUCGGAUUCACGAUUUCGAAUUAUAAUAUAAUUCCAAAUCCGAUAAUUUUUUAGUUUUGAGAAUAAGUGCAGCUUUUAGUACCCUCUAAAAUACUUAUAACACUUUUUUUAAAUUUGAUUUUUUAAAAGACCUUAGUGUAAUUUUUUAAAAUAUAAAUCUAUAUAUUAAAAUUAAUUAUCUUCUUACAAAAUUCCACCCUUGAAAGAUAUUUCUUUUAAUUUUUUAUUUAUAAAAUAUGUGAAAAUAUUAAAAUCUUCAAUUAUUUUCUUUUUAUUAUAUAAUUUCUAUCUCCAUAAAUUUAAGCUCUCAUAUAAUUUGCUUUUUAAAAAUUGUUUUUGAUUAAAUUUAAAAUAUAAAUACAAAUUAUGUAAUGAGUGGGUGUAAAAGUUUGUUAAGAUCAUAGUUUAUUUAAGCGUUGAAUUGAAAUUAUAUUUAUAAGAAAUACAUUAAUUUAUCUUAAGUUAUUUAAGUAAUUUCAAUAAAUAAAUUUAAAAAAAAAAAAGGAUUUUAUGAGGAAUUUUGGCUGCUUUGAACUUUCUUCCGCAUAACAUUGGGUUUAAGAAGGGUCCAAGGCUCAAUACCAACUAGCGGCCCAAGGAAUCACAAUCACACGUGUCGAACAGCUACGUGGCGUGUACAUUACGCACGGGAGCGCAUCUUAGCCCAACUUUCUCAACAAGCAAUCACUUCUUCAGAGGCCUUCUCUUGUCUCUUUCGGCCCCCUGAAAUUUCGUUAAAUUGCUGUUUAUUUCUUUGUUAUUAUCUGGAUUUGUACACUUACGCAUUUACUAAUUUUCUUAUUUAAAUUAUCCACUAGCUUUUUGUUCUAAUCCAGCUUAUUUUUAUACCGAUGAAUAUCGCAAAACUAAUAAUAAUAACAAUAAUAAGUAAAUAAACGAAUGCGAAAUUUGGGUUUUUAUUUUCUCAUUUUCUUUGUAAUUAGGUCGUUGCAUUCAUUUAAAAUGAUAAUAACAAAAUUUUUGGCAGAAAAAAAGGAAAAUUUUUGUUAUCCGUUUAAUUAUUUUAAAUAGAAAUUUGCUUUUGUUGAAUGAGCCUUGUGGUUUCUUCUUUGUGUCGGGAGCUGAAAGGUUGACUAUCUUGGUUUGAAUACUCGUUCACAAUAAAAAUGGUAAUUAUUUAUUUAUUUAUAUAUAUAUAGGGUUCAAAUUUAUUUGUUCAACUGAUUCAUGAUAUGGGGUCGAUUAGUGUUUUCAUUUUUUUUUUCUGGAGUUUAAGGUUACCAUUUAUUAGAUGUGAUGAAUAUAUAUUUCUAUUUUUAUUCUACAUUGGCAGGUGAAACUUAGCACCUCAGGGUCUGAUUAAGAAUGGAAGUUACAUCUAAUAUGAUCAUGAUUGUACAUUAUGCAUGAGAACAAAGAGUAUUAAGAACAAGAAUUUAACUCCGUAGAAAAUAAAAAUGUGAAAACAUUAGUUAGGUUUUCUCUUAUAGUGCAAUUAAAAUCAUUCGAUAUUAAUCGAUAACUUUAUCUUUUUUUCUUUUCAAAUUAGACAACUAUGCAGUAUAUAUGGAUCCACAUAGAAUCUAGAGAAAUAGUAUAUUUUGGGAUUGAGAAUUAGAAGUUUGAUUAGUAUCUGCAUUAUAUUUCGUAGGGAAUGCUGAGGACAAACGUUUCAUUUAAAGAUGUGCAAGAAAAUAGCACAAAUGAAUCAAAAUUAUUUUGGUCUUUUUAGAAGGUAACAAUUAAGAAAUCGGAUUAUGAAUUAAUGAAAAGUUCUAUGUUUUAAACAUUUAUUGAGUAUUAGGGAUUUAAAAGUAAAUCUUACUCAUAAAAUUAGUAAAUAUAUAUAAAAAUAUCUUUUUCCGCCAAACCCCAAUCUAAGAGGACACAAUUCUUCACCCCUGCUUGCAUUUGCCAAUUUAUUGUAAUUGUUACGAGUUGGUGGGAGUGAUUCAUUAUGAUCUGAUGAUCAGGCUUGUUUUUGCAUAGAAUACAAUGUGGAGAUUUUAAACCGAUGAAACGAAAUACUGCUUAAUUGUGCUGCCUUUGCAGCUGUAUUCCACUUAGAAUUCAUGUUUGCAAAAUGUCAAGGUUGUUGUGUGGAUAGUUUAAGGAGUAAUAUCUUUGAAUAUAGUUGAGUAUGUUUUGCUUUUCACUAGCAUGUCCUAUGCAUCAUUGAUUGUUCAAGUAAAUAACUUAUUUUAAUUUUAAUUCCUUAUUUCGACUCCAGCUCAUUCCAAUUUUAGUCAAUUUUAAUUCUAACCCAGUUUGAUUUCCGAUUAAUAAACGCAUGAAAAGUAAUAAAAAGUUCUAAAGAAUUAGAACCCGUACGCCUCGUUAAGAAAAUUGAGUUCCAAUAUCAAACAUUUUCGACUAAACUUGUGCUCCCAGAAUACAUGUGCAACAUUCUCGACAAAUCAUCAAUGUCUCCAGUAUUUGUUGAAGCGUCACCAGGCUGCAUAGCUUCUAAAAUAGAAUUUACUUUCAAAAUUAAUGAUCAACCAAGAAUUUAGUUAUCAAACAUAGUAUAAAUAUGUGUAGGCUUGCAUUUUAUAAACUCACCCCAUAUACAACAUUAUCUCCCAAUUCGCCACAUUAAUUUGAACCAUGGCUAUUUCAAAGAAUGCAGUGAUUUUCUCCGUGAUGGUCAUGGCUAUUUGUUGUGGGGGUCACCACGGUAGCAAUUGCUCUAGCAUGGCAAUGAUUGCUCCAACACCCCAAGAGGCAUCUGAGGAGACAUAUGACUUACCAACAAUCGAUAAUGUUGAACGACAAGUUGUUUUGAUUCCAUAAGAAAGUGAUUGUGAUUCUACACCCGCAAGAGCUAGGGCAACAAAAGUUGUUCAAAUUCCCCAUGAAGAAGGUGAGUGUGAUUCUGCACCUAAGGAGACAAAUGAUGUCCCAGCGCAUGCAAUCAAUAAUGUUAAAUGACAGAAAGCCGUAUUGAUCCCAGGAGAUGCUGAUUGUGAUUCUGCACCCACAGGUGCUAGAGUUGUAAAAAGUUUCCAAACUGCACCCAAAAAGACUCAAACUAUGCAAGAGGAAGCUGAUUGUGAUUUUGCUCCCGUUGGUGCCAGAACCACAAAGGUGACAAAAGGUCAACCAAUAAUUGUUCAUUCUUAAAAAAUUGACUUGGAAUUUGGGUUUAUUGUCACCUUAAUGAGCCUAAAUUUUAGUGUAUCCAUUAAACGUUUAUUGCAAUUGAAUUACAUAAUAACUUGAUUUCUUUUAAUUCAUUUUUCUGCUCAUAUUUAAUUUGCACUGUCGAUCAAAAAAAGUAAGGAAAAUCAUAAAAUUAUAAUUUUAUUAAAAUAAUUUCAGCAGAAAAUUAAAUUCUCAAGGAGCAACAAAGAGCUCACAGAAAAACCAUUUAUUCUAAAAUAUAGUAAAACAUCUCUAUAGUGAUGAUUUAUAUAGAAAUAACAUCUGUAUGUUCCUCAAAAAGUCAUCAUCAUCCUCAAAUUAAGUAUUUUCUAUAGUAGCGCUAUGAAUAGCACAUAGCAGAGCAGCGCCCAAUACACAGGCAACUCCCAUCAUAUGAAAGGGGUUCAAUGUCCACUUAUAAGACCCUUGAAAAAAAGAAGAAGGAUGAACCGUAAUAUUGCCACUACACCAAAACUAGGCGCAAAGAACUAACAAGACUUCCAACCGUUGUUUUUAGGAUCCGCAUCAAUUAUUCAUUAAAUAGAAGCUACUGUUGGAUAUUUUCCAAAUAAAAGCCAUAUUAUGGUUCUUAUGGGUGGAUUAAUUAAAAAAGCAUCCGUCGAUUUUAAAAACCGCUUUUUAUUAGGUAUUAUUUCUUUUUGUGGUAUUCCACCUCUCGCUUGUUUUUGGUCCAAGGAUGAAAGAUAGGUAAAAUAAGAGAACUCCCUUUUGAGAAUAGUAUAUGAGAACUUCAUCUCGUACCGCUCAAACAAAACCACGCCAAUACUGGUAUGGAAUAGAAAACUAAAAACUUCUUAUUUUUUGAUUCAAUCUUAUCUAAGAAUACGAAAGAAUAAAAAAUUAUAAAGCUAUUCUUCGUGGUUAUAAUUAGAAUGUCUAAUUUGAGAUAGUUAUAAAUAAUAGUAAUUAUUACUAUGCAAAGGUAAGAUAUUCUAUAAGAUGAGAUCUAAAAAAAUUAUAAUUUAUCAUAUGGAGUUUAUUCUUAAAUAAUUUGAUUUCCAGAAGCUAGUACAAAAACAAUUUAAGAAUCUAAUUCCAAAAUAAUCUAUUUUGAAGAGCUUUACCAAACUUAUUUUAUAGUGGUAGAUUAUCACGUAAAUGACUACUAAUUACAAUCUAAUGUAUCCCCACUAUUAAAAAAAUGGUCUUUACUGACAUUAAAAUAGUGACAGUAAUAAUUUUUAAUGACACUUGUUUAAUAUGUUAGUAAUGUGACAAUUAGAAAAUAGUGACACAUAAUUAUCUCAUAGCGGGUUGGUAUUUUCAGACAAGAGGGAUUUGUUCUUGCGGCUUGUGAAUUGUGAAUUGGCUUAUGAUGCUUCGAGACAGUUCUUUUCAAAUGAUAUCCAUUUUUGUUGACCAUAAUUAUGUGGGCUUUCUUGUCUCUAGUGUACCGUCCAGAGCCUCGAGACCUCUUUGUGGUCAAGAGUGGGAAUGUACUGAAAAAAGUUGUGAAGCCAGGAAGAACGAUAGAAAAAUAUGUGAAGCGUGGGGCUGGGGAGUUGUGGCACGCGCUCGCACACUCACACGACUCUUUUCAAGUUUCAAAACAUAUUCUCCAGUGACCUAGAUUAAUAUAUAAUAAGGUGAAAAUGGGUGUUGGUGAUUGAAGUUUGUAAGGGCACUGCAGCUGCGCCCAGAAAGCCAGGUCAAAUUUUAGUAUCUCAAUGACCCUCGUGAAGGAGUUGACGUGAUUUAUAAACGGGCUACACAUGGGUGACAUAAACGGCACCAUAGCCAUUUUGACACUCAUACUCUUGUGUUUAAGUUAAAAGAAACAGCAGCAUCAAAACUGCAGCGGCAUCAAAACUGCACCUCCGUAAAGGUGCCGCUUAUGUCACUAACAUUUAAUCCAAUAAUUCAUGAAGCAACCGGUGAAUAAUUCACCUUAGGAACAUGGCAUGUUUUUUGAGAAGUGGGUGCGAAGCAGAAUUAGAAACAAAUCAUGUGCCAUUAAUUUAAAUGAAACAAUCUUAGGAUAAGUCGAUAGUGAUUAACCAUAUGCAAUGUAUCCCACACUCCGGUGGCAUUUUCAAUUGCCUAGUAACUUAAGUGUCUUUAAAGAGUUCCAAGAUUAUAGACUUGUUUUGAAUUAAGGUUGGGCAACUGUAAUUUAAAAAUUACAGUAUUAAAAUAUUUGGUAAACACUAAUUGUUGUAGUUUGGAAACUAAAUUGAUUUGAUUUUAUACUCGAGUGAAGAAAAAUCUAUUAUAUCUGUUGGGGGGACUUAGCAUAAGAUUUCUAAGUAUCCAACCCAAAAGACUAGCUUUUUAGGUGGAGUGACCUACCACCUUAUAAACCCAAGUAUCUCCCCUUUACUAGCCAAUGUGGGACACAACUCAACAAUCCCCCCCUCGAACGAAACCACUGCCGGACUCCGGUCCUUUCGUCCGACACACCUGAGUUGUUCCACCACCAUAUUUCGGCUACUAGGGUCUAGCUCUGAUACCACUUGUUGGGGGGACUUAGCAUAAGAUUUCUAGGUAUCAAACCCAAAAGACUAGUCUUUUAGGUGAAGUGACCUACCACCUUAUAAACCCAAGUAUCUCCCAUUUACUAGCCAAUGUGGGACACUAUAACCCUUGGUGCAAGUGUGUGAUAUGAUUUUCUUUGAUUGUGUGGUUGGUUUCAAGUGCUUAUACGUAAUUCUUGUCAAAGCUUAGUUUAGUGUUAAUUCCAGAUUAAGGUCAAGUUUCAUAGAGUGGGUCUUGGGGGUUCCAAGUUGAUCUUGGAGAUUGAUUUGGUUUCAACAAAUUGGUAUCAGAGCCUAUCUCUGGUUUCUUGGUCUUUGUAAUGGCGUCAACUAAACUUAAAGUGGAGAAGUUUACAGGUGAAAAUGAUUUCCACCUAUGGAGGCUCAAGAUGAGAGCCUUACUAGUGCAUCAAAGGUUGGAUGUUGCACUUGAUGAUGAGUCAUCAUCCAAGAAGCCAAUGAAAGUAACAGAAGAAGAAUUAUAUGAAGUGCUUGAUAGGGCACACAGUGCAACAAUUCUGAGUAUUGGGGAUGGUGUACUCAGAGAGGUGGGUGGAGAAAAAACAGCAGCAGGACUAUGGAAGAAGCUUGAAGACUUAUACACAAAUAUGUCAAUGGCUAAAAGACUAGCCACCAAAAAGAAGCUUUAUACCUUGCAGAUGGAAGAAGGAUCAUCAAUUACUGAUCACAUUGAUGCUUUUAACAAGAUCAUCUUGGAUCUUGAAGACAUCAAUGUGAAGAUUGAUGAUGAAGACAAAGCCAUGAUCCUGCUCUGCUCUCUGCCGAGUUCCUAUGAGAAUCUAGUGGAUACAUUGAUGUAUGGGAGACAGACUCUCGCUAUGGGAGAGGUAAAGGAAGCUCUGAGUUCCAAGGCUGCAAUUAAGAAAGAAACCAGGGAUGGAGAAUGUCUGACAGCAAGCAGAAGAACUGAAAAGAAAGACACAAGUAAGAACAUGAAGAAGGGAUCAAAAUCCGAGCCAAAGAACUUGAAAUGUUUCCACUGUCAUAAGGAGGGCCAUUUCAAGAAAGAUUGCCCUGAGUUGAAAAACAAGAAAAACAAUACAAAUGAGAAGAGUGGAGAUGCUGCUGUUGCAUCAGAAUUUGAAGAAUCUGAUGGCUAUGACUCAACUGGAGUUCUAAUAGCAACUGAUGCUCAAACAAAAGGUAAUUGGGUUUUAGAUUCUGGUUGCUCCUUCCACAUGUGCCCUAAUAAAAAUCUAUUCACAAACUAUGAAACUUGUGAUGGUGGAAUAGUAGUAAUGGGUAAUGAUUCAAGCUGUAGAGUGGUUGGCAGAGGUUCAAUUAGGUUAAAAAUGUUUGAUGGCAUGAUUAGGGAACUAAGGGAUGUCAGACAUGUGCCUGAUCUCAAAAGAAAUCUUAUCUCUCUAGGAAUGCUGGAUAAAAUAGGGUGCCUAGUUGAACUUGAGUUAGGCAUUUUAAAGGUCUUGAAAGGGUCAAUGGUUGUGAUGAAAUGGAACAUGAGCAAUGGUCUGUAUGUGUUACAGGGAUCUGCUGUCACAGGGGAUGUUGCUAUGUCAAACCAGAAACUAAAUAAAACCAUGCUGUGGCAUAUGAGGUUAGGCCACAUGAGUGAAAUGUGAUUAAUAGAACUAUCAAAACAGGGGGUCUUAGGAGUAGAGAAGAUAAAGUCCUUGAAGUUCUGUGAAGAUUAUGUCCUAGGAAAAUCUUUAAGAGUGAAAUUCAGUACUGGUAUCCAUAACUCAAAGGGGACUCUAGACUACAUUCAUUCUGAUCUGUGGGGGCCUGCACAGACAGCUUCUCUAGGUGGGGCUAGGUACUUCUUAUCUCUAAUUGAUGAUUUCUCAAGAAUGGUUUGGGUGUUUAGUUUGAAGAGCAAAGAUAAAGUGUUUGAUCAGUUUAAGAAUUGGAAAACAUUAGUUGAAACACAGACAAAUAGGAAGGUGAGAAGACUGAGGACAGAUAAUGGGUUAGAGUUCUGCAAUAAGGACUUUGAUGAUUUCUGUACAAACAAUGGCUAAAAGACUAGCCACCAAAAAGAAGCUUUAUACCUUGCAGAUGGAAGAAGGAUCAUCAAUUACUGAUCACAUUGAUGCUUUUAACAAGAUCAUCUUGGAUCUUGAAGACAUCAAUGUGAAGAUUGAUGAUGAAGACAAAGCCAUGAUCCUGCUCUGCUCUCUGCCGAGUUCCUAUGAGAAUCUAGUGGAUACAUUGAUGUAUGGGAGACAGACUCUCGCUAUGGGAGAGGUAAAGGAAGCUCUGAGUUCCAAGGCUGCAAUUAAGAAAGAAACCAGGGAUGGAGAAUGUCUGACAGCAAGCAGAAGAACUGAAAAGAAAGACACAAGUAAGAACAUGAAGAAGGGAUCAAAAUCCGAGCCAAAGAACUUGAAAUGUUUCCACUGUCAUAAGGAGGGCCAUUUCAAGAAAGAUUGCCCUGAGUUGAAAAACAAGAAAAACAAUACAAAUGAGAAGAGUGGAGAUGCUGCUGUUGCAUCAGAAUUUGAAGAAUCUGAUGGCUAUGACUCAACUGGAGUUCUAAUAGCAACUGAUGCUCAAACAAAAGGUAAUUGGGUUUUAGAUUCUGGUUGCUCCUUCCACAUGUGCCCUAAUAAAAAUCUAUUCACAAACUAUGAAACUUGUGAUGGUGGAAUAGUAGUAAUGGGUAAUGAUUCAAGCUGUAGAGUGGUUGGCAGAGGUUCAAUUAGGUUAAAAAUGUUUGAUGGCAUGAUUAGGGAACUAAGGGAUGUCAGACAUGUGCCUGAUCUCAAAAGAAAUCUUAUCUCUCUAGGAAUGCUGGAUAAAAUAGGGUGCCUAGUUGAACUUGAGUUAGGCAUUUUAAAGGUCUUGAAAGGGUCAAUGGUUGUGAUGAAAUGGAACAUGAGCAAUGGUCUGUAUGUGUUACAGGGAUCUGCUGUCACAGGGGAUGUUGCUAUGUCAAACCAGAAACUAAAUAAAACCAUGCUGUGGCAUAUGAGGUUAGGCCACAUGAGUGAAAUGUGAUUAAUAGAACUAUCAAAACAGGGGGUCUUAGGAGUAGAGAAGAUAAAGUCCUUGAAGUUCUGUGAAGAUUAUGUCCUAGGAAAAUCUUUAAGAGUGAAAUUCAGUACUGGUAUCCAUAACUCAAAGGGGACUCUAGACUACAUUCAUUCUGAUCUGUGGGGGCCUGCACAGACAGCUUCUCUAGGUGGGGCUAGGUACUUCUUAUCUCUAAUUGAUGAUUUCUCAAGAAUGGUUUGGGUGUUUAGUUUGAAGAGCAAAGAUAAAGUGUUUGAUCAGUUUAAGAAUUGGAAAACAUUAGUUGAAACACAGACAAAUAGGAAGGUGAGAAGACUGAGGACAGAUAAUGGGUUAGAGUUCUGCAAUAAGGACUUUGAUGAUUUCUGUACAAAACAUGGCAUGGUUAGGCACAAAACUGUAAGACACACACCACAACAAAAUGGGUUAGCUGAAAAAAUGAACAUGACCCUAAUAGAUAAAGUUAGGUGUAUGCUGAUCCACUUUAAGCUACCCAUGAGUCUGUAGGCUGAAUCUCUAGAUACUGCAUGCUACAUAGUAAAUAUGAGCCCUUUUUCUGGAAUCAAUUUCAGAACCCCAUAUGAGCUCUGGUCUGGCAAACCAGCAGAUUAUUCUCAUUUGAGAAUAUUUGGCUGCCCAGCCUAUGCUCAUGUCAAACAAGGGAAGUUAGAGCCCAGGCCUUUAAAUGUGUGUUCUUAGGAUAUCCUGCUGGUGUGGAGGGUUACAAGCUGUGGUGUACAGAUAUGAAGCCUCCAAGGGCAAUGAUCAACAGGGAUGUGGUGUUUAAUGAACAUGAAAUGUUUCAAAACUCAGCUACUGUGAAGCAAACCAUUGAAAGAGAGUCAGGUUGUGACAAGAAGAGUUUUCUUGAGGUGGAGCUUCCAAGCUCCAGCACAGAAGCUGAUAAAAAGGCAAGGCCUGAGAAUGCACCUUGAAGAGAUUUGUCUGAACAAGAAGAUGAAUUAGAAGGUGAUGAUGACCUCAGAGAUUAUUAGUUGGUAAGAGAUAGAAAUAAAAGAGAAUCAAAGCCACCUAAGAGGUAUGCAUAUGCAGACUUGAUUGCAUUUGCACUAUCAACAGCACAGGGAAUAGAAGAAGAUGAACCAAAGACUUACACUAAAGCUGUCAGUAGUAAGGACUCAAAGAAGUGGAUUGCAGCUGUUGGUUGAUUUAUAUAAUCAAUUAUUAUCAAUGCCAAUGUGCAAGUAUACACAACAAGUAAUAAAGUGAUGAAUGUUCAAGAUCGUCUCCACAGGGAUUGAUGUUACUCAAAAUGCUAAAGCUGCUGUACGGCCAAGGCGGAUGUACGGUACAGCAGUUCAUUGAUCCCACCCAAUUUUGAAGUAGGGAGUGUGAUUCCCACUCCGAUGAGGGAAGGUCCACUCCCACAUCUUACUUUUUUACCUUUCUUUUAUUAAAUUUAAUACAAUUAUAUUUAGUAAAAUAAAAAAAAUAAUACCAUAUUUAUUUAAAAAUAUUAUUUUAUUAUUUUAUAAAAUUCUAUUUAUUAAAAGAAUAAUAUUAAUCUUAUUUAGAUAAAAUUGUUAUUAUAUUUAUUUAAAAAUAAUAGUAUUAUAUUUAUUUAAUAUUAAUAAUUAAUAAUAAUAAAUAGUUUAUUUAAGAAAAUAUUAAUUUUGUACUAUAUUAUUAAUAAUAAUGUUUCAUUUGUGUUGCUUUUAUCAAUAGAUUUUAAUUUCUUUGCUCAUAAAUUUAAUGUAUGGCUUUAUGAUCUUUAAUCUCUCUACCCUACAAGGUGAACACCUAUGUCUAGGAUAUCACAAAUCUUAAUUUCAAGCAUUGCCCUUAUGAGAUUUAAAAUAACCUAAUCCAAGAAACUUAACUUAAGAACAAGUAAUACUCUAAUAAUGUCCGCUAAGACAUGCAUUUUUGCUGCUAUAUCUUAACUGAAACUAUUAAAUGGGCGGUCAACCGAAAUAACAAUUAUGUCAUAAAAACUAUUAGAGUAUAAUGCUACAACAUUAUCAUAACAUCUUAUAUGAACAGUCAAGAACCCAUUGGAUUAUUUGUCAUUCAACUAUAAGUAAAUUCAGUUCAUAUUCUGAAUGAGAAAAGUAAACAUAAAUAUACUGAUUGCAGAAUAAAUCCAAUCCACUAAAGGAAGAAAGAUAAUAUGAGUUGAGCACGAUGAAAGUCUAAGGAUCCUCCUCGAUUUUUCAACGAUGCCGAACAACACUCCUUAAUCUUGAUCUUCUUCUUCUCCUUGCCUUUGUAAUUGUUUUUGGAUGAUCAUACAUAUGCCGCUUCUAUGUGGUGCAUGCCUCCUUUAUAUAUUUGCAAAUUAGGAAACAUGCAAAUUGUAAUUUAAUUGCUGACCCGCGCCUAUAUUUUCUCCCACGUUUCUCCCAGAUUGCUGCAGCAUUGGUUGCUCUAACAUCCGCAACAGCACUUGUAUUAUUUCCGAUUGUGCUUUCCUUCUUCUGUGACCAUCUUCUUUCUUCCUCUUUCUCAUCUAAUGCUCCGCAUCCUUUCAUGAAUUUAAAACCUAUAAAUUAAAACCUGUUUUUAGCACAAAUUACUAUGAUUCACGCAAAACUUGUUAAGACUCAACUAAAAUGAAUGUUUAUGCAAAAGUUCACCAAAAUGUAAUCAAAAUACAUUAUUUGCUUUCUAAAUGGCCUUUAUUCAAGUCUAGAACGGAUGUAAUAACUCUCAUUUCCAAGAGUUAUCAGCAGCUAUGGAUGAAGAAAUGAGAUCACUGAUCAAGAACCACACCUGAGAUCUGAUUCCAAAACCAGCAAAGAAGAAAGUAAUUGGCUGCAAGUGUGGAUCUAUAAGAUCAAAGAGGGCAUACCAGGAGUUGAACCACUUAGAUUCAAAGCCAGGCUGGUUGCUAAAGGCUUCACACAAAAAGAGGGGAUUGAUUUUAAUGAGGUUUUUUCCCCAGUGGUGAGACUUGAGGAUUUUGUUAGCACUUGUUGCAGUAAAUGACAUGCAUCUGGAACAGAUGAAUGUCAAGACUGCAUUCCUUCAUGGUGAAUUAGAAGAAAUAAUUAUAAUGGCACAACCAAGAGGUUAUGAGAAUCAAGAUAAAGCUGAUUAUGUGUGUCUAUUAAAAAAGUCUCUAUAUGGAUUAAAACAAUCCUCGAGACAAUGGUACUUGAGAUUUGAUAAAUUCAUGGCUGAGAACAGCUUUCAAAGGUGCUCUUAUGACUGCUGUGUAUACCACAAAGAUUUGAGAGAUGGAGGUAAGAUUUAUCUGCUGCUAUAUGUUGAUGACAUGCUUAUAGCAUGUAAACAUAUGGAUCAGAUAGAUGAGCUAAAGAAGCAGUUAAAGAAUGCAUUUGAGAUAAAGGAUUUUGGAGCAGCCAAGAAGAUCCUUGGAGUAGAGUUGCUAAGAGAUAGUAAGAAGGGAAUACUAAAGCUGUCACAGCAUUGCUAUAUAAAGAAAGUACUUGAGAGAUUUGAAAUGGUGGACUCAAAACCAGUUCAAACUCCACUGUCAGCUCAUUUCAGGUUGUCUUGUAACCAGUGUCCAAGGACUGAAGAUGAAAAAGCUGAGAUGAGCACAACUCCAUACUCAAGUGCUGUGGGGUGCUUAAUGUAUGCCAUGGUCCUAACAAGGCCUAAUAUCUCUCAUGCAGUAAGUGUAGUUUCCAGGUAUAUGGCUAAUCCUGGAAAGGAGCACUGGAGGGCUGUGAAAUGGAUCUUAAGAUAUUUCAGUGGAACUGCUGAUUAUGGCCUCAUCUAUGGAACCAAAAGAGGUACAGAAGUUAAUGUUGAAGGGUAUGUGGAUGUUGACUAUGCAGGGGAUCUAGAUAAAAGAAGGUCUCUGACAGGCUAUCUGUUCACACUCAGUAGCUGCACCAUAAACUGGAAAGCUUCACUGCAAAGUGUUAUUGCUCUGUCAACAACAGAAACUAAGUACACUGCAGCUGCAGAAGCCUUUAAGGAGGCAAUAUAGCUCAGAGGAAUGGUUACAGAAUUGGGAUAUGAACAAAAACAGGUGGUUGUUCAUUGUGACAGUCAAAGUGCAAUUUGCCUAAGCAAGAACCAGGUGCAUCACGAAAAGACAAAGCACAUUGACAUUAAACUACACUUUGUCAGGCUGGAGGUGUCUAAAGGUGUGGUGCAGCUAUUAAAGAUACACACUGAUGAUAACCUUGCUGAUAUGUUGACAAAGGCUGUACCAGCAGCCAAGCUAGAGUUCUGCAUGAACUCAGCUGGAAUCUGCAGGCUAUAAAAACUGCAGGGAUGAAGUGGAAGGCAUAAGCUUAGGAGUAACUGAUUUGAGUUCAAGGUGGAGAAUGUUGGAGUUGUGAAGCUCAAAUCUGAACUUGGGGAUUUGUAUGACAUGUCAUCUGUUUCUAAUGAAGCAUAACGACUUGUCAAGCAUUAGAGUUCAGAGAAGCUGAAUGGAAUAAACGUUAUGUCAGCUGGAUGCGUUAGUAAUGCACGUGAUGCAACACAUGAUUCACUAAUUCAAACGGCAACCUCAUCUGCGUUUUAGCUAGCAGAUAGCAUGAGCUUUUGACAAGUGUCCCAGAGCAUAUUCAAGAAUUGGUUAUUUCGGUUAGAUCACGCGGGAGGCAGCUGAUCAUCAUCUUGGCUGGAAACCCAGGAGCGUGAGCUGACUUUUGGGGGCUCUUUCAUCGGGUUCUGAUAGGAGUAUAAAAGGUCCUAGGCUCUGUUACUAAAGGCAUUCUAUUAAGUUGUAUUCACUCUUCAUACGUGUAACUUGUUCACUGGAAAUCAGUAAAAGCUUGUUUCUCUUUUCACAGUGGAUGUAGGCAAGAAAUUGGCCGAACCACUAUAACCCUUGGUGCAAGUGUGUGAUAUGAUUUUCUUUGAUUGUGUGGUUGGUUUCAAGUGCUUAUACGUAAUUCUUGUCAAAGCUUAGUUUAGUGUUAAUUCCAUAUCAAGGUCAAGUUUCAUAGAGUGGGUCUUGGGGGUUCUAAGUUGAUCUUGGAGAUUGAUUUGGUUUCAACAAUAUCUUUACUAAUUUUAUCAAAAUUAUUAUUUAAAAAUUAUAUUUACUACAUAAUAUUGACUUUUAUUUCACGGUUACAAUUUUUUUUUUCAGGAUAGCUGUAGCUUUUAAGUUACAACAUUUCAAUUCAAAUAGAACUUAUGUGGUGCUCAAUUCCAAAUAGAGCUUAUGUUGAUGUUUUUACCGUGCAAUGUUCCAUUCUUGUCAUCAGCAUAUUGACAUGUGAUAAUACUGAAUUAUUUUUCAUUAUCUAUAGCUUUGUGUCUGCCACCUGCAACUUCAUAUUCUCACUCAAAAUGUUAAAAGCAGCUGUCCACAAAGUUAGAUAUAAGGGAAAAUCAAGGGUAUAUAUACCUGGGAAAAAUCGAAAAGUGCCGGAAAAUCAAUCCACAUACUCUGUUCUGUUUUCACACUUUGGAGGAUAGAACUAAGAAUAAACCUUCUCUUCAUGUCUUAACACUUAAUCGACGCUGGUUUUAUGCGUUUUACAGUAUAUGGAGCACGUUCAGUACGAAUUAAGAUUAUUUCUUCACAUGAACUCACCUGGUCUUUGAAUGUUACUAUGAUAUACACAGAGGCGGACCUGUGCUUAGGCUAGACUGGGCUGUAGCCCAAAAAAAAAAAUUAAAAAGUUUUCGAAAAUUACAGAAUUUCCAUUAAAUACAUAAAAUAAUAUUUACUUUUACUUUUUCCUCUUUACCUUUCCUUGUUUCUCCCUUUUGCAUCCAUCCAGAACGAUAAAAUUCCUCACUCCUGCGUCUGUGGUGGUCCCUUGCUUCACUUCUUUUCGACUCAAGCACUUCCCAUUCAAUUUUUAAUAGGUAAAAAUCACUCAUAUUUUAAUUUAUGACAGUUCCCUCUCUCGUUUACAUGUAUGGCUUAAUUUAUUACAACUAUCUCUCUCUAUCUCUCUCUCUUUCCCUCUCUCUUUCAUUUACAAGCAUGAGUGAAAUCAAAACAUCUUUUCUAUGAUUCUCUUUCUUGCAAUAAUUAGGUAUAAAGUAUAAACAAUUACACAAAUAUCAACAAUUGAGAUUUGGGUAAUAAUGUUUUGGUGAUUGUUGAUUUGUUAGUUAUCAUAUAAUUCUAAUUGAUGGUUGGCAUCUCUAUAUUAGAAUGAGUAAAUAAUAAAUUGUCUAAUAAAUAAAUAAAUUUGUUUAUUGAACUUACUCAUUUGAUUAAAUUAACUCAAAUCUCACUGUUUAUCUAUUAAUUUUUUUUCUUAUUAUUCUAAUAUUUUACAAUUCUUUUUUAAAGUGCCGGAAAAUCAAUCCACAUACUCUGUUCUGUUUUCACACUUUGGAGGAUAGAACUAAGAAUAAACCUUCUCUUCAUGUCUUAACACUUAAUCGACGCUGGUUUUAUGCGUUUUACAGUAUAUGGAGCACGUUCAGUACGAAUUAAGAUUAUUUCUUCACAUGAACUCACCUGGUCUUUGAAUGUUACUAUGAUAUACACAGAGGCGGACCUGUGCUUAGGCUAGACUGGGCUGUAGCCCAAAAAAAAAAAUUAAAAAGUUUUCGAAAAUUACAGAAUUUCCAUUAAAUACAUAAAAUAAUAUUUACUUUUACUUUUUCCUCUUUACCUUUCCUUGUUUCUCCCUUUUGCAUCCAUCCAGAACGAUAAAAUUCCUCACUCCUGCGUCUGUGGUGGUCCCUUGCUUCACUUCUUUUCGACUCAAGCACUUCCCAUUCAAUUUUUAAUAGGUAAAAAUCACUCAUAUUUUAAUUUAUGACAGUUCCCUCUCUCGUUUACAUGUAUGGCUUAAUUUAUUACAACUAUCUCUCUCUAUCUCUCUCUCUUUCCCUCUCUCUUUCAUUUACAAGCAUGAGUGAAAUCAAAACAUCUUUUCUAUGAUUCUCUUUCUUGCAAUAAUUAGGUAUAAAGUAUAAACAAUUACACAAAUAUCAACAAUUGAGAUUUGGGUAAUAAUGUUUUGGUGAUUGUUGAUUUGUUAGUUAUCAUAUAAUUCUAAUUGAUGGUUGGCAUCUCUAUAUUAGAAUGAGUAAAUAAUAAAUUGUCUAAUAAAUAAAUAAAUUUGUUUAUUGAACUUACUCAUUUGAUUAAAUUAACUCAAAUCUCACUGUUUAUCUAUUAAUUUUUUUUCUUAUUAUUCUAAUAUUUUACAAUUCUUUUUUCUCAAAAAUUUGAUAGCCAUGGGUAUUUGUAUUAACCAUAUAUUGACUUGUAUGAGCCUUUAAUGUUGAUUUUUUUUUAUUUUGCGACUUUAAAUAUAUUUAAAAUUAGUAGAAUGUAUAGCUUAUAACACUUUUAAUGAUUUCUUGAUUCUUACACAAUUACAUGCUGUUAUAGGUUAUAAUGUCAAACAACAAAUCCAAACCGAGGAAAACUCUACUUUCAUUCUUUACUAAAGUAAAUGAUGGUCAAUCAUCAAAUGGGACAAGUUCUAUGUGCAACAUUGAUGCCUCAAGUUCUCCACCUAAGUCUCAAAGAGUUGAAUUUGAGAAAGUUGAUACUCUAUCUACUAUUGACACGCCUUAUUUAGAACGUGAUCCCGGAUUGCGUUUUUCAAUAAGUACUUUUCCCAUUGACAAGCGUGAAGAUGUGCGGAUGGCAUAUAUAAAUAUGGGACCAUUUCAACAUAAGUACUUUUCUCAUUGACAAGCGUGAAGAUGUGCAGAUGGCAUAUAUAAAUAUGGGACCAUUUCAACCUAAACUAUAAAAGUAUCUAUCGACUAAAUAUGGUACGCAAAACCGUCGAUUUCAAUUUUCUUGGUUCUCGAAAUUUCCUUGGCUUGAAUAUUCUAUAUCAAAAGACAAAGCAUUUUGUUUUCCAUGCUAUAUUUUUCAUGAUAAGCCAUCUAAGAAUGAAGCAUUUGUUGUUGAUAGGGUUCAAAAUUGGAAGUAUGUUGGUUGUGAAAAAACAUGUCCUUUUGAUCAACAUGAAAGAGGUCGUGGUUCUUCUCACAAUGAUGCCAUGUUAAAAUGGAGCAAUUUAAAGGAUCCAUCCAAACAUAUUGAUAAGAGAUUGAAUGCACAAUCUUCGCAACAAAUUUUGGAGAAUAGAUUGCGAUUUAAAACCUCAAUAGUAGCUAUUAAGUGGUUAGCAAAACAAGCAUGUGCUUUUAGAGGUCAUGAUGAGUCCGUUAAUUCUCUUAAUCGUGGAAAUUUUAUUGAAUUAAUUAAGUUGUUAGCAAUAAUGAAUGAGGAGAUUAAUAAAGUUGUGUUAGAAAAUGCUCCUAAAAAUGCCUAAUACAUAACACCUAAGAUUCAAAAGGAGUUAUUGAAUAUUAUUGCUAAUAAAGUAUGACACAAGAUUCGAGAGGAAGUGGGUGAUGCUAAAUUUUGUAUCAUAGUUGAUGAGGCACUAGAUGAAUCUCACAAAGAACAAAUGGCUAUUAUUUUGAGAUAUGUUGAUUGUGAUGGUUUUAUUCGAGAACAUUUCUUUGAAAUUGUGAAUGUCGAUGAAACAUAGGCAUUGACUUUAAAGAAUGAGAUAUGCAAUGUGCUUUCUCAGUACAAUCUUUUAGUUGAAAAUUUAAGAGGUCAAGGGUAUGAUGGUGCUAGUAAUAUGGCGGGUGAAUGGAAUGGAUUACAAUCUUUAUUUCUCAAUGAUUGUCCGUAUGCUUAUUAUGUACAUUGUUUUGCUCAUCGAAUACAACUCAUAUUAGUUGCGGUAUCUAAAGAAGUGCAUGAGGUAUGGCUAUUUUUUUUGAAGUUGAGUUCUAUUAUUAACUUUGCUAGUGCUUCUUUCAAGUGUUAUUCUGAGUUAAAAUCUGCUAGAGAAAAAGAAAUUAUAGAUUUGAUAGCUUUAUAAGAGCUUGAGACUAGUACAGGGGCUAAUCAAGUUAGAACUUUACAAAGGGCUGGAGAUACACGUUUGAGCUCACAUUUUACUUCAGUUAGUAGGUUUAUUGAGAUGUUUGGUGCAACUCUUGAAGUUUUAGGAAAAAUUAUUAAUGAUGGAUCUAGUCGAGAUAUGCGUGGGGAAGCUAAAGGUGCAUAUAGGGAGAUGAAAUCCUUUGAGUUUGUGCUUAUUUUGUUUUUAUUGAAUAAAGUUCUCGGAAUUUCUAAUAUUCUUUGUCAAGCAUUACAGACAAAAUCAUUGGACAUCUUGAAUGCUUUGAACUAUGUCUCAAGUACAAAAAGACUUUUGCAAGAGUUUCGAGAUAGUGGAUGGGAUGAUUUUAUUAGAAGUGUAGUAUCUUUCUGUAAAAAAUAUGAUAUUACUAUGCUUGAUAUGAGUGAUUGUUAUAUGGAAGGUACAAGGCGUUCUUGUCAGCAAAAAGAUUAUGUUACAGUUGAACAUCAUUAUCACUUUGAUGUAUUUAAUGCUAUAAUAGAUUUUCAAUUGAUGGAGUUAAAUAGUAGAUUCUCUGAGCAAACUGUGGAACUCCUCACUUUGAGCUCGGCAUUGGAUCCAGUUGAUGGGUUCAAAUCAUUUGAUAUAGACAAUAUUUGUUCUCUUGCUGAGCAAUUUUAUCCUCAUGAUUUCACUCCAAAUGAGGUGCUUGCUUUGAGAAGAGAAUUAGAACAUUAUCAAAUUGAUGUGCUUUCUCAUCCACGGUUUCAAAAUAUGGCUUCCCUUUCUGAGCUAUGUCGACGAUUUGUUGAAACAAUGAAGUCACAGCACUAUUUGUUGAUUGAUAGAUUAAUUCAUCGAGUCUUAACUCUUCCUGUUUCCACGGCCACAACAGAGCGUGCAUUUUCAGCCAUGAAACUUAUCAAGACAUCACUUCGUAGUAAGAUGGAAAAUGAGUUAUUUUUCAGAUUGUAUGGUUAUCUAUAUUGAAAGAGAAAUUACUGAUACUGUUGAUUUAGAUUCUGUAAUUGAUGAUUUUUAUAAUUUGAAACCCCGAAAAGUACAACUUCGGUAGAAAAUUUGUAUUGGGAUUGUAUUUUUUUAUACUACUUUUUUAAACUUAUUUUUAUUUACAAUAUGGAUUUUACGCGUAAGGCUCUUAAUGUCUCUUGUUAUUAGGUGUAUUUUGUCAUAUGUAUAUAUAAAAUUUCAUGUUCACUUGGUACAAAUUUUUUAUUUUUUUAAUUUAGCCCAGGGUACUGCAGAGUUCUAGGUCCGCCCCUGGAUAUACAUGCAUAUUUUAGUAUGUUUUAAAGAUUUACUGCGUUGAAAUACUUUCAUUCAUUGACAUCCGAUUACAGUCCUGUACGUGGUAAGAUAAAAGCUCAGAUCAGAAAAGAAUCCAGGCUGUUCAGUACACAAUUUUCUUGGAGUUAAGAGGUGGAACUAGCAAGUCACUUAGUCAGCUGGUGCAUAUGAGCAGGCGCCUCUAGCUUACAUCGUAGCCAUUAUUUUUGCUGGCAAUAAAAAUCUAACCUUAUGCUGUGGAAUAAUUUGAUUGAUCUGAAUUUUGCAUAAUCGUAGUGAAAUGAAGAAUAAGCCUUCCUCAACUAAACAAAAGAUUACAACCCUUCACUUCUCUUUCACAUUGUCAUGUACCUAAUAUGCUCUUAAUAAUUACUUGUCUCAAGAAAAGUAAAUGCUUUUAGAAUCGUAGCCAAAGCAUAAUCACCACUGAUGACUGACCAAGAUGAAUGAUCUAUCUUAUUUCCGGCAGAUUGAAAUGAUAUGUAGAAUAUAAGAAGAAUAAUUUAUCCUUCGGUUUCUAAUGUCCCAUAUUGGUAAAUUCUCUCGUCCCAAGAAAAGUGAUGCCUUUACACUUUUGCUUUGCUUUCUAGUUGAUUAUCAGUUGUAUUUGACAGCUGUGGCAUAUCCCUUGACCUGCUCAAAGGCCAAACUCGCAGCGAAACCUGGAAAUUCAAUCCGAGGAAUCUAUUAAGCAGAUAUUUAUUGCGACAUGAUAGCUAUGAAAUAGUUGUCAACAAAUUGGAAAUUCUAGUACUAAAUGAUAACACCAGAUUGCAAAUUGGCCCAACUCUUGUGAAACAAGUCAAAAAAAGAAGAAAAAAAUGAUUCAGGAGCAAGUUAUGAUCAAGUGUAGGAGCUCAGUCAAAAAGCACAAAAGUCAUCCAAUAACUGAUUUAUUUCAAGCAUAUGUACACAAAAGUUAUAUAUAGAGAAGUGCAUAUAUACCUACUCUUCAAUCUUCAAGAUGUUUUAACACUCUGUUCUAGGAAUCAUAAUAAUUGGCAGCAUAUGAUUUGCUUGAAAGUUGGCAGCAAUAAUAAUGGUAAUGAAAUGCAGAUUUUAUAAGCCUAAUUCCUCGCUUGACCACAAUAUGGAACUAUGCGUGUUUUGGUUAAUUUUUAUGUCCCCAUAUGAUCGCAUGACUUUUGGUUCAAGAGAAGUUAGACCUUUAUAAUCAUAGAAUAUAAAACAGCAUAUCUACACGCGAUGUACUAAGCUGGACUGUUCGCUAGUCAUAAUAUCCUAAGAAAAUCAAUUAGGAAUGAAGCACUUAUUGCUUGAUCUCUGCUUCUAAAAUUAUGCAUUAAUAUGCUCUAUUGUGCUGCAUUGUUUUGCUUACUGAUUGAAAAAAUCCAUUACACUUUUGUUGGACUUUUGUGACUUGUAAUCUCCUUGAAGGCUUAUUUCUCAGCAUAUUAUCAUUAGAAAUGAUGGAUGCAUUCUUCUCUUUUGUUGCCCAUUCCAUCUACUAUUUUGCUGUCUCAGCAGUGGACUUCACUAAUUUGAUGCAAUGAAUGUUUUAUUUAAGUAAGGAAGAUCAUAUAAUUAUAAAAUUAUUAAAAUAAUUUUAGUAGAAAAUUAAAUUCUCAAGGAGCAACAAAGAGCUUAUAGAAAAACCAUAUAUUCUAAAUUAUAGCAAAACAUCUCUAUAGUGAUGUUGAAUAUAGAAAUAAUCUAUGUAUAGUUGUAAAAAAAUCAUCACCAUCUUCAACUAAAUUUUUUUCUACAAUAGCACCAUGAAUAGCACAUAGCAAAACAACAUGAAAUACACCGAAAACUCUAUCAUAUGAAAGGGAUUUAAUGUCCAAUUACAAAACCCUUGGAACAAAAAAGGAUGAAUCGAAAUAUCGCCACUACACCAAAACUACGCACGAAGAACCAACCAGACUUCCAAAGCCUUGUUGUUUUUAGGAUCCGGAUCAAUUAUUCAGUCAAUAGAAGCUAUUGUUAGAUAUUUUCCAAAUAAAAGCUAGAAUAUGGUUUUUAUGGGUGGAUUAAGAAAACAUGUGCGGAUUACAAAAAUCACUUUUUUAUUAGGUACUCUUCCACUUUUUUAGUAGGUACUCUUUCUCUUUGUGGUAUUUCACCUCUCGCUUGUUUUUUGUCCAAGGAUGAAAGAUAUGUAAACUAAGAAAACUCCCCUUUGAGAACCAUAUAGGAGAAUUUCACCUCAUACGGUUCAAACGAAACCACCCAAAUAUUGGUAUAGAAUAGAAAAUUGGAAACUUAUUAAUUUUUUUAUUCAAUCUUAUCUAAAAGUAUGAAAGAAUAAACAUCUGAAAGCUAUUCUUUGUGGUUAUAAUAAGAAUAUAUAAUUUGAGUUAGUUAUAAAUAAUAAUUAUUAUUACUAAGUAGAGGUAAGAUAUUCCUUAAAAUGAGAUUUAGAAAAAUUACAAUUUAUCAUGUGGAGUUUAUUCUUAAAUAAACUAAUUUUGAGAAGGUAGUACAAAAACAGUUUAAGAAACUAAUUCCAAAAUAAUCUAUUAUGAAAAGCUUUGCCAAACUUGUUUUAAAUGUGUCCGUAAUCUACUAGUUAGGACACAAUGACACUCAUUUGUGAUGUUACAAAUAUGAUGUUAGUGAUUACUAUUACUACAAUAUUACAACUUUUAUGGCACUAUAGUAGUUACCUAUAAUUAUUAUGUGUCAAUGGUUCGUUUCACUAUAGUAUCACAAAUAAUAUGACACUAUGGUGUUAACAAUUAAAUAAUUAUUAAAAGUCAAUGGUUCAUUUCACUAUAGUAUGACGAAUAUUAUAAUUCUAGUGAUAUUAUUUUCAAACACUUUUACGUGUUAAUUGUUUGUUAUAUACACAACGAAUAUGAUAUGACAAAAUCGAUAGCUACUUAUCCUUUAGUGUCAAUAAUUAGUAUUAUAUCUUAUCAAUAAUAUUAUGAUACAAUGGAGUUAGUGCCUGCUGAUGUAUUUGUUAGUGUGCAUGACUAUUUUGGUUAAAUUUGGGUUUUGGCAUUUCUAUUGUUGGCCUAUUGUUUUCAUUGCUUUUUUACUUUUGCCAUCAAAUGAUGUUAUUCAAAGAAAAUAUUAAAAUUAAUAUAAAUAAUAAAAUUUAAAUAAUUAUCAAAUAAAACAUACAUCUCAAAUAUAGUUUGAAAGAAACUUAAUUACAUAUUUAUUUUGACAGUUUGCACAAAUUAAUUAAAUCUCUUCAAUACAUCUACUCCUUGAUAAUUCCCACCUACAAGUGUGGUACAUAGAAACAUUAGCUAGUAUGCUACACAAACAUGUCUUGGAUAUUUGCAAGCAAAAAUAUACUUAUAAUUUACCUGAUUAUUUUAAGUUAUAGUUAACUUUACAAUAUAUGUGGCCCUCUUAUUGCGAAGUUGCGAAAAAUCGUCCAUAGUAUACUUAUCACAACCAUUGAACUUCAAUAAUAAAACAAUGAAGAAAAAUACAUAUAUUUUAAAUCUGUUCUAAAAUAAAACAACAAAAUAUGUACAUAUAUUUUAAAUUUGUUCCAAUUAAAAUAAAAAAACAAAAAACUUGCAAAUAAAUUGUAUCACCAUAGUAAACAAUAGUUACCAAAGCUGCUCAACAAGUUGAUAAUUUGUAAUAAUCAUUUUGAUUCACUUAAUAUUACUUUAGAAGGAUAGCAGGACACACUAAAAAUUAGCAUCAGUUUUGCCAAACAACAUCUUAAACACAUUCAACAAAAUAUUGAUCGAUUAAACAUAGUUCUUAAGAAAAUUCAUCCUAGACAAAAUCAAUAAAAAAAAAAAAGAUAUCUCUAUGAUAAUAAUAUAUGUUCAACUAAUGGAUAUGUCCACUACAUUUAAAACUGCAGUAGGAUAAAAUUUGGAUAUGUGUUGUAGCUUUUACCUAAUAAAUAUGCCAAAUGAAGUGCAUGUCGUUAUUAUAAACAUGCGAAGUACUUCCUCUCAUCCCUAGCAAUUGUGUAUACAGAUAUUGCAAAUUUCAAGCAUUAAUCAACAAACAAUUCAUCAAUCAAUCACAUAAUUGACAGGUAGUUUUUCAUAAACAGUGGCAUAAGAUCAAUUAAACACCAUUGUUAAGAAAAUUCAUCCCCCAACGCAAAUAUAUCUAUCUAUAACAAUGGGUACCUUUGUUGUUUCUUUCUCUUACAUUGUUUUCAAGAAUGUACAAAACUUGAACAACAUCUUGAAUAUACUUCAUCACAUAACAACCACAUUCGAUGGUGUUAGGUUGCUUCGAUCACUACAAAAAUAAAAAUUAGUUCCAAAUAAAUUGAUGAAAGAAACAAUGAAUGUUAUAAAUUUGUUUCAUUAAUACCUUCACAUAAAACAUUGCAUAGUCUUCCUUCGAUUAGACUUUACUUGAUGCAUUGUUAUCCCACUAUAAGAAAUAAAUAAUGAAUGUCAACAAAUUAAUCCAUUGCGUAAAAAAAUAAGAAAAAUAAGUAAGCUAAUCAAACUUACUCAUUCAUCAUCUGCCUCAACUCAUCAUAAGGAUUAUCACCAAAUGGAUCAAGAUAAUAUAUUUUGCGCCUCACCAUAUCAAUUGCUACAAGAUAAAUUAGAAAAAUAACAAAUAGAUUACAAGAUAAAUUUAAAUCAUUCAUGUAAAUAAAGAAUAUGGAUAGAAAAUAAAUAAAUUAUCCCCUAGUUAUAAGGGAAUACAAUGAUUUGGGCUUUUUGUAUCUUGUCCAAAAGAUCUUAAAUAUAUGAACAUCUACUUGGAUAGCUUGCUUGAUCUAAAUGUAACUUAGCUAUAAAUCCAAAUUGAAUUGGAAGGACAUCAUCACCAUUAUCCAUCUCUUCAUACAAGUGUCUAUGAGGAAGAAAAUAAAAAAGAAACUUGUAUCACAUAUAUUUGGAUAACAGAUAAAUUAACACAACUUUAAAAUCAGAAAACAUAAUAAAAACAUAAAUCAAGUUUUUUUCUUCCUUGAUCUGUAUAUCAAUAAUAGAGUUUGAGACCUUUGUAAACUUUAUAACUUCAUUGCAAAUAAUCUAUUCUCCUAAUAGACACCAAAAGUUUGCAAAUCAUGUGCAAUACUAAUUGACUAUGCCAGGGAGCUCUCAAUCAUCAAAGAAAAUAUGCUCAUCUAUGCACUCUUUGUUUUCUUUCUAGUUUUCAUAGCUCUAAGAGUAUGUUUUGCACGUGGUAUUGCAUUGUAUUAUCUUGUGGGCCCAGCAUUAGUUAAAAUAUACUUGUGUUUGGUGAUCAAAUGGAUUGCAUUCAGCAGCAUUAAAAUGCAGCUUUUGCCGCAUUAUCAAAACCCGUGCCCCCCCUCGUGAUUAGGUUGUAUUACUUACUCUUGUGUUUUAAAAGUCAGUAGCUUCCCCUUUUUUAACUUUAUAAUAAUAGUAAUAAAUAAAUAAAACUUUAAUUUAAUAUAAUAUUAUACAAUAUUUAUUUUUUUUUUAAUUUCUGCUGUACCGUACAUCCGCCUUGGCCGUACAGCAGUAAAUAAAUAAAUAAAAAUUAAUUCCAACAAUAUGAAAGGAAAAUGUACAUACCAGGUGCAAUGUAGCCAUAUGACCCUGCAAUUGCUGACAUACAUUCCGAUGCACCGCCGUCGAUCAAGAAUUUGGCGAGGCCGAAGUCAGCAACGUGAGCUUCAAAGGCUGAAUUUAGCAGAAUGUUGUUUGAUUUCACAUCUCUAUGAACAAUCAAAGGUGAGCAAUCAUGGUGAAGGUAGCAUAGGCCUUUAGCUGCUUCAAUGGCGAUUUUGUACCUCAAAUUCCACCCAAGAAACGCUCCCUUUUUGCCAUGCAAUGCUUCCCCCAAGCUCCCAUUUCUCAUGUACUCAUAAACAAGUAGAUUGGUUUCUUUGUUUGAGCAAAAUGCUAGUAACCUGACAAUGUUCCUGUGCCUGAUGUUGCCUAGUGUUUGAAUCUCAGCUCUGAAGCCAUGAUCAUGAUUAGUAUUUUACAGCGCAACACUAAAUAUAAUAUAAUUAAAAUCUAAUACAGUACAAUGUAACACCAAAUAUUGUAUAGCAUUGUUAUAAUACAGUGCUAAUGCAAUACAGCAUAAUACAAUACACCAGUAUUAAAAUAAUGCAAUACAGCAUAAUACAAUACAGUGUGCCAAACGUACCCUGAGGGUAUUCCUCCUCAAAACAAAUUUUCUUGCUAUUGUUGGUUUUAUAACAAUAGGUACCUUUGUUGUUUCUUUCUCUUCAUACAGAUAUACCAUACCAUUUGCAGGAGACUUUGGCCCAUCAUUUUUUUUUUUAAUGGUUGAGAUACUACCCUUUCUAAUUUUAAAGGGGCAAUCUUGAAGAUCUUCUUAUGGUGAGUUUUAAAGUGGCUUCAUAAUCUACUUGGGAUGGAUUCUAUGCAGAAGCUAGCAAAGGAAGUGUGUUGAUCUUUUUGUCAGAUUUACAACUAGCUUUAAGGUUUUUGUCACUAAUUCUUGAGUAACUCUGGUAAGGAUCGACGAUCCAUCUCUAUCUCCAUCUUAACACUGCAACCACAUCAAGAAUUAGGAAAAUUGGAACUGCCAACUCUAGUGUUACUACAACCAUUUAUCUUUGCAUUCAUUUGAUCUAUAUGAGCUUGAAUAAAUUGAAAACUAUCCUGGUAUAUUUUGAGUGUCAACUACUUCAAAACCGCCUACCGCAAUGGCUUAGGUAAAAAGCAAAGGCUAAUUUUUGCAAAACUAAGUAUAAUUAGGGCUGAAUACUUUUAGUAGGUUGAUAUAAUUUUGAUUGCUUGAUUUUGAGGCCACAUGUUUUGAUUUUGAUGGGAUGUAACAUAUUUGGCAAUUAGACAUGUUGUUUAUUUGAAUUGUUGAAUAAUAAAUUUAUUUCUUUCAUUGGAUAAUAUUGUGGUUGCUUUUACAAAAAAAAAAAAAAAAAAAAGAUUCAUGUGUUGUAGUUAGUCUUUGAUUAAUGCCGAUCAAGAUGUGUUGUGAUAGUAGUGAUGAUGGUGAUGGAUAUAGUAGUGAUGAACAUAGAUGUUGAGUGAAGAUGAUGCUAGAGAACAACAGAGAAAGCAUGUGAGANNNNNNNNNNNNNNNNNNNNNNNNNNNNNNNNNNNNNNNNNNNNNNNNNNNNNNNNNNNNNNNNNNNNNNNNNNNNNNNNNNNNNNNNNNNNNNNNNNNNNNNNNNNNNNNNNNNNNNNNNNNNNNNNNNNNNNNNNNNNNNNNNNNNNNNNNNNNNNNNNNNNNNNNNNNNNNNNNNNNNNNNNNNNNNNNNNNNNNNNNNNNNNNNNNNNNNNNNNNNNNNNNNNNNNNNNNNNNNNNNNNNNNNNNNNNNNNNNNNNNNNNNNNNNNNNNNNNNNNNNNNNNNNNNNNNNNNNNNNNNNNNNNNNNNNNNNNNNNNNNNNNNNNNNNNNNNNNNNNNNNNNNNNNNNNNNNNNNNNNNNNNNNNNNNNNNNNNNNNNNNNNNNNNNNNNNNNNNNNNNNNNNNNNNNNNNNNNNNNNNNNNNNNNNNNNNNNNNNNNNNNNNNNNNNNNNNNNNNNNNNNNNNNNNNNNNNNNNNNNNNNNNNNNNNNNNNNNNNNNNNNNNNNNNNNNNNNNNNNNNNNNNNNNNNNNNNNNNNNNNNNNNNNNNNNNNNNNNNNNNNNNNNNNNNNNNNNNNNNNNNNNNNNNNNNNNNNNNNNNNNNNNNNNNNNNNNNNNNNNNNNNNNNNNNNNNNNNNNNNNNNNNNNNNNNNNNNNNNNNNNNNNNNNNNNNNNNNNNNNNNNNNNNNNNNNNNNNNNNNNNNNNNNNNNNNNNNNNNNNNNNNNNNNNNNNNNNNNNNNNNNNNNNNNNNNNNNNNNNNNNNNNNNNNNNNNNNNNNNNNNNNNNNNNNNNNNNNNNNNNNNNNNNNNNNNNNNNNNNNNNNNNNNNNNNNNNNNNNNNNNNNNNNNNNNNNNNNNNNNNNNNNNNNNNNNNNNNNNNNNNNNNNNNNNNNNNNNNNNNNNNNNNNNNNNNNNNNNNNNNNNNNNNNNNNNNNNNNNNNNNNNNNNNNNNNNNNNNNNNNNNNNNNNNNNNNNNNNNNNNNNNNNNNNNNNNNNNNNNNNNNNNNNNNNNNNNNNNNNNNNNNNNNNNNNNNNNNNNNNNNNNNNNNNNNNNNNNNNNNNNNNNNNNNNNNNNNNNNNNNNNNNNNNNNNNNNNNNNNNNNNNNNNNNNNNNNNNNNNNNNNNNNNNNNNNNNNNNNNNNNNNNNNNNNNNNNNNNNNNNNNNNNNNNNNNNNNNNNNNNNNNNNNNNNNNNNNNNNNNNNNNNNNNNNNNNNNNNNNNNNNNNNNNNNNNNNNNNNNNNNNNNNNNNNNNNNNNNNNNNNNNNNNNNNNNNNNNNNNNNNNNNNNNNNNNNNNNNNNNNNNNNNNNNNNNNNNNNNNNNNNNNNNNNNNNNNNNNNNNNNNNNNNNNNNNNNNNNNNNNNNNNNNNNNNNNNNNNNNNNNNNNNNNNNNNNNNNNNNNNNNNNNNNNNNNNNNNNNNNNNNNNNNNNNNNNNNNNNNNNNNNNNNNNNNNNNNNNNNNNNNNNNNNNNNNNNNNNNNNNNNNNNNNNNNNNNNNNNNNNNNNNNNNNNNNNNNNNNNNNNNNNNNNNNNNNNNNNNNNNNNNNNNNNNNNNNNNNNNNNNNNNNNNNNNNNNNNNNNGCAGUAUAAAAAUAUAAGAAAAUAAUUUAAUAUUGUAGUAUUUAUAUAUAUUUUAUAAAAAAACUUUAAAAAUAUACAUUUUUUUAGGGCAAAAGAUUUUAUGGAGUCCUCUCAUGUGGGAGCCCUCAUUUUGUUUAUAAAGAUUCGUUAUUAAACCAUGUGGUUUAAUAAAGUCAGUGCAGACACACUAUAUAGACCACAUUGUUUUAUAGUGAAUUGAACACUAACUCUGUUAAACCACGUGGUUUAAUAGCAUGUCCACAUAUAUAUUGAGAUAAACUGUGAGAAUUUUGAGAAAAAAAUUCAAAAUAGGUGUUAUAAGGAUUUUAGAGGGGUGUUAAAUUAUAAGGAUUUUAGAGGUGUGUUAAAUUACUUACAUCUUAUCAAAUUAUUCACAAAUUCUAGAUUUACCAAGUAUCUUAUUAAAUUACUUACAAAGUUGCCUCUAGAGGUAUGAUCGAGUGGUUUUAAAAUAGGCAAAACACUAUUUUCAUUCUCAUUUUUAUUUUCAGAAAAUACUAAUUCAGAAACAAUACCAAAUAGAAACUUAGUUUUAGUAUGAAUAAUGUUGUGUUAGUUUUGCAGGCUUACAUGCACCCUCAGAUUUAUUAGAAGUAUCAACCCAACCCCCCAGUUACCCGUUGACUGAUAUCUAACUCGUUGAAUGAUGUUGACUCUUGAAAGAAACUAUAAUAUUUAUAUUCUAAUCUCACUUUAUUAACUAAUAAAUUUUAAAAAUAUAAGCAGAUCAAUAAUAACAAAAUAAUUAAAGUUGAAAUCCAAGAAAUUACCCAAAGCAAACCAUACCUAAACCAAACCUGAAAACCAAAAUGCAUAAAAUUUCAUUAAUUUAGGUUGUGACAAUGAGUAGUCCAUAUAAUAUGAUGAAGGAACAACUUUCAUCAUUUUACCAAGUUAUUAAUGCUAUGUUUACUUACUGGAGUGGGAGUGAGAAGUGUAGAUUCCUCUCACUCUAGUGUUUACUUGUAUAUUCUAAGAGGUGUGGAAAUCUCACUCUGUUGAUCCCACCCAAUUUUGAAGUAGAGAGUGUGAUUCCCACUCCGAUGAGGGAAUGUCCACUACCACAUCUUACUUUUUUACCUUUCUUUUAUUAAAUUUAAUACAAUUAUAUUUAGUAAAAUAAAAUAAAUAAUAUCAUAUUUAUUAAUUGUUAUUAUAUUUAUUUAAAAAUAAUAGUAUUAUAUUUAUUUAAUAUUAAUAAUUAAUAAUAAUAAAUAGUUUAUUUAAGAAAAUAUUAAUUUUGUACUAUAUUAUUAAUAAUAAUGUUUCAUUUGUGUUGCUUUUAUCAAUAGAUUUUAAUUUACAUAAUUAAAAUUAAAACUAAUAAAAAAUUGUGAUUUACAUAAUUAAUAAUAUUAAUAAUUAUUGUUAAUUUACAAAUAUAAUGAAAUAAAUAUUUUAUUUCAAAUAUAUUUUUUAUUAAUUUUGUAAUUAAAAGCUACAAUUCUUUAAAUAAUGGUAAAAUCAUAAUUUGAAAUCAUUUACUCCCAAUCCAAGAAAAAAUAAACAGGUAAAUUGGAUUUGAUUAUGAUUCCAUAUUCUGAUUCCAGUGAGAGGAAACAACUUGCUCCCACUCCACACUCUCAAUCCCAGGAUUUCCACUUCUCAGGAUUUCCACUUCAAUUUAAAAUAUAAACACUAUCUAAAACGUCAAAUAAAAUUCUCAAUUAAGUAAACCAUAAGGUGAUUGCGUAUAAAAAAAUUAAUAAUAUUAAUUUUCAUAAGAAUUUAUGCUCGUAGUAUUCUUUACUUUUUAUUAACCGUUGCUUCAACUUAUGGUAGAUAUUAAGAGAACAAUAAUAAUAGAGCUAUAAAUGUUUGCAUACUAUCAAUUAACUUAACACUAUAAUUUGGUUUACCAAACAAAUCCUUAAUACCAUAAAUAAUUAAAUUUUUGGGGUUUUAAAAUAACUCUCCAGACUUUGCAUGAUUUCUUUAUAUGUAGGGGCCAUGGUUCAUGUAAGUAAUAUCAGCCACACUUUUUGUUAUUGGUAAAAAAAAAAUUUUAGGUACAAUUUGUGAAUUUGUACAAAAUGUGGUAUUAUACAUUUGAAGCAUGAACCAACAAGACAAUGUCGCGUCAAUAAUAAAGAAAUGAAAAAAAAUUGUAUAAAAUACAGAUGUUGUAGUGUAACUUGGAUUCUUUUUCUUUAUAAUUGCACCUAUCAUGUGAUUAUAAAAAAUAAAAAUAAAAAAACUCUUGAGAUUUUAAAAUUUUGUAAUUGCACUAUCUUUGGAUUAUCAGAAGACUUCCUCUCCUUAAAGAUGCCCUUAAUCCAUAAAAAAAAAAAAAUCAUGUACGCAUACCUUUUAUAGCUUCAUAUUGCAUAACUCCUCAUUUCAAUCAAUGGAUGCAUUUGUUUACUUUUUCUUUCUUGUAAAUUUUUGAAUGGUCGUAAUUAAUUAAGUGCUAUUAUUAUCAUCAUUUUGUAGAUGCAUAUGCGGGGUGGGUCCAUUGGGGCCUGGGGGGCAUGGAUCUCAAUAUAGCAGAGGGCCGGCUAGAAUAUUUAUUCUUUAAGAGGAACCACAACCAACAGAAUGCUUUAAGCUUCUAUUCCAUGUUAUUUAUGUACACCAAAUUGUAGAAACAACAUUGAUCAUCCAAGGUCAAAGCCUUUCAAAGACUCUAGUUGCAAGAAAAAGCAUGGGAUUGCGGUCAAAAUUUUCUUGCUGUGAAAGGUUCAUAAACUGAUGACAGCUGCUGGAUUGUUUUGAGCCUCAAUGGUUUUAAUAUUAUUCUCUUAAAAACAUAUAUGUUGAUUAGAGACGAGAGGAAGAAGAUGAUCUGAUUUAGCCAAUUGCAGAAGAAAGAGCACGCAAUGGAGUUCAGAUUUUGAAUUCUCUUGUUAAAUUAUUUUUAAUUUAUUAUAAGGCCGAAUACGUUGCAUUCUUAAAAAAUACUUUGAACAUCAUAUUUUUGUAUUACAAAUAUACCAAAAAUUAAUAUAUUUUUUUCUUUAUUAGAAUAAACUAAAUUUUGCAUGAAUCCUCAUCCUUGUAAGUUGAAUUCUAUUGUGAAACUAAUAGUCCUUCCUAGUAGAACUAACUAUCACUUUGAACAUAUGUGUCAUCUCUAACAAUAGCUUCCAAACCUGCAACUGGCUGCUUCUCAGCAUUAGAAGCAGCAUCCGCAUUGGCUUUCAACCAGCCAUAAUUAAGAGGAGGGCACCAUUGUUUCCGUUUGACAGUUUUCUUCCUUGAAGCAUAAGCCAUAAUUAGGAGGAGGGCAAGCUUCCAAAUAACAUUCCGAAUGGUAUUGUGAAAAUCUUUCACCCUUUUGGCGAUAAAAAAAAAAAAAAACCUUGUUUCUAGUUCUCUCUUAACAAUUUUAUGACUUUAAGUUCUCUCUUAAGUAGAAACAUCAUAUAUAUUAAUUUGUUGUUAAUAUAAAUAAAACUAAAUAUUUAUGACUUAAAGAUAGGUGUUGAAUGGCGGUCGUCUCACAAAAAAAAAGUACUUAAAAGCAAUGGUGAUAUCGUAAUUUUUUUGUACUAAUAUGAGAAUAUCACACUAGAUUUUUUUCCAAAUUACAAAAAGUUUGAAUUCAAGAAUAAAUAAGCAAUAUCAGGAACAAAUUUUACAAAAAGCCUCCAGAACAUGUCAUAUGAAUUUGUGAUACGAAAAAUAGUAUACUAGUCACUAGAUCUUUUCACAUUAUGAAAAAUUAGAAAUGCAAUCUAAAAUUAUAUCAAUUAUUAAUUUUAUAGUGAAUGGGAUUUUUAUAAUAUAAAAAAUUAUUAGCCAUUUACCCUAAGGUUACUCUGUGUCCAAAAAUACUACAAAAACUUUAGCUUGCUUAAUUUUUUUACCUCAAUUUAUAAUUUGUAUCAGUCACUCACUAAAAAAAUAGAAUUACUUCAUAAAAUGACAAAAUAGAAAAAAGUACAAAUGACAAUAGCAGUUAUUUUAUAAGGAUAAUUCAAUCCUUUUGUCACCAAAUUACACAUUAAAUUAUUUUAAAUAUUAUAAAUUAUUUUUAUACUAAGUGAUGGAUCUAAUCAUUUUAGUACUCAUGACAAUUUAAUCUAUCUAAAUAUGAAAUUUUGGAGUAAACUUAUGUUUGAGUAGGAGGAUAAUGUAAGAAAAUUUGAUACUUUUAUUCAACUGAAGAAAUUUUACAAUUUAAAUUAGAAAACGAUAAAAUUUAAUAAUUAACUAUUAUUUGAACUAAUUGAAUCGUGAGCCAUCAUUCAUUGCGGUCCCAAAAGCAUUCUACUUGUAAAAUAAACUGCAGAUUGCGGUUUGCGGACAGAUUAUCAAGGUAUUUGUUAAUAUUCGGUAUUGGAAGGAAAAGGGCAAAUGUUUCCCUUCUAUUUUGGUAAUUCUAUUCUUCUUCUUUUUCAACCCCAAAUAAUCAAAGGCUCUCCAAUGGCUUUCGUAGCUCAAUAUGCGCCCUUCUCGGCCUCCCGCCACUUCCUUCAAUAUUUUGUUUGGUUGUCUUGCUAAGACUAAACAUUAUGAUACUGUCCUUUCACUCUUCAAGAGACUUAAUUCAACUGGGUUGUUUCCAAAUCUUCAUACUUACAGUAUUUUGAUUAACUGCUUUUGCAAAAUGGGUCGAGUUUCUCAUGGUUUUGUUGUUCUUGGGAGGAUCCUCAGAUCUUGUUUUACUCCAGAUGCUGUGACCUUUACUUCUUUGAUUAAAGGUUUGUGUGCGGAGAGUAGAAUCAUGGAGGCCGCCGUAUUGUUUACAAAACUUAGAGUGUUUGGUUGUGAGCCUGAUGUUUUUACAUACAAUACUUUGAUUAAUGGAUUGUGUCGAACCGGCCAUACAAUUGUUGCUCUAAAUUUAUUUGAAGAGACGGCCAAUGGAAAUAGGAAAUUUGGUGUUGUUUGUAAGCCAGACGCUAUUACAUACAAUACUAUUAUAGAUGGUCUUUGUAAGGAAGGUUUUGUGGACAAGGCCAAGGAACUGCUUCUGAAGAUGAAGGAUGAGAAUAUUAACCCAGAUGUGGUUACUUAUACCUCUGUGAUUCGUGGUUUUUGUUAUGCUAACGAUUGGAACGAGGUGAAGCGUUUGUUUAUUGAGAUGAUGGAUCAAGGGGUACAGCCUAAUGUUGUGACUUUCAGUGUGAUCAUGGAUGAGCUCUGCAAGAAUGGGAAGAUGGACAAAGCAAGGAGGCUGUUAGAAUUGAUGAUUUGGAGAGGAGUGAAUCCCAACACAUCUACUUAUAACACAUUAAUUGAUGGUUAUUGCUUAACUGAUAAAAUAGAUCGUGCAAGGAAAUUAUUUGUUUCUAUGGAGAGUAACGGGUGCAUGCAUGAUGUUGUUAGUUACAACACAUUAAUAAAUUGGUACUGCAUGAAUAAGGAUGUAGAGGAAGCGUUAAGCCUUUAUAGUGAAAUGCUUUCUAAAGGAAUAAAGCCAACAGUUGUUCCAUAUAACACCUUGUUUCUUGGUCUUUUUGAAAUACACCAGGUUGAGCGUGCUUUAAAACUGUUUGAUGAGAUGCGGCGUAAUCAUGUGGCAGCUGAUACAUAUACAUACACUAACUUUAUUGACGGGCUCUGCAAGAAUGGUUUUGUUCUAGAGGCACUGGAAUUAUUCCGUGCUAUAAGAGAUAGCAAGUAUGAACUCAAUAUCGUAUCCUACAACUGCCUCAUUGAUGGAUUGUGUAAAAUAGGCAAUGCACAUGGUUUGUUUCUUGAUAUGGAAGCAAAAGGUGUAGCACCCGAUUGUGUCACAUUUAACACGCUGAUGCUAGGUUGCAUCCGCAAUAAUGAGACAUCAAAAGUUGUUGAACUCCUUCACAGAAUGGAUGAGAGAAAUGUAAUACCAGAUGCAUCUACACUUUCAAUUGUUGUGGACUUACUUGUAAAGGAUGAAAUUAGCUUAAACUCGAUUCCACAAUUCAAGAGUCAAAGGUAAGUGAGUUUAAUACUGAUUUAGCCGCAUGUUUCUUCUGCCUGAAAACCCAAUCUGGAGGAUCCCAUUCUUAUUACAACAUGUAAGGGAGUGUUGUCUAAUGUUGGCAUGUUCCUAGGUUCUGUCCAUGGAUUCCGUUUGCAGACAUGGCUAACUUCUUGUUCAACAGAUAAGUUUUAAAGUCUUUCAACUUUAUGUUGUAAAAUAACUUUUUUAUUAUUCAAUUCAUGAGUUUUUCUUCUAUAAC
Molecule: long non-coding RNA, 36428 nt
Filed under: Citrus sinensis (sweet orange)
Lineage: Eukaryota; Viridiplantae; Streptophyta; Magnoliopsida; Sapindales; Rutaceae
Description: long non-coding RNA (CSIN_LNC003393)
Source: RNAcentral